AUGAACCCUCCUCCAGCUUUAGUGACUAUGAUGCUGUUCAUGCUUGGGAGGAUCCAUGGAGACUCAGUGACACAGAAACAAGUUCAAGUGACCCUCUCAGAAGGCAAUUUUCUAUUGAUAAACUGCACGUACUCAGCCACAGGGUACCCAACUCUCUUCUGGUAUGUUCAAUAUCCUGGAGAAGGCCCCCAGCUCCUCCUGAAAGUCAUCACAGCUGGCGAGAAGGGAAGCAGCAGAGGGUUUGAAGCCACAUAUGAUAAAAGAACCACCUACUUCCAUUUGCAGAAAGCCUCAGUGCAAGAGUCAGACUCGGCUGUGUACUACUGUGCUCUGGGUGAACCAGUGGCAGGGGGAGCUGAGCACAAACCCUGA
Molecule: non-coding RNA, 372 nt
Organism: Psammomys obesus (fat sand rat)
Lineage: Eukaryota; Metazoa; Chordata; Mammalia; Rodentia; Muridae
Source: the annotation of a RefSeq genome assembly